GACGAACGCUGGCGGCGUGCUUAACACAUGCAAGUCGAGCGGUAAGGCCCUUCGGGUACGACGAGCGGCGAACGGGUGAGUAACACGUGGGUGACCUGCCUCUAGCUCUGGGAUAAGCCUGGGAAACUAGGGUCUAAUACCGGAUAUGACUCCACGGCGCAUGUUGUGGGGUGGAAAGCCUUGUGUGGCUAGAGAUGGGGCCCGCGGCCUAUCAGCUUGUUGGUGGGGUGAUGGCCACCAAGGCGACGACGGGUAGCCGGCCUGAGAGGGCGACCGGCCACACUGGGACUGAGACACGGCCCAGACUCCUACGGGAGGCAGCAGUGGGGAAUCUUGCGCAAUGGGCGAAAGCCUGACGCAGCGACGCCGCGUGAGGGAUGACGGCCU
This 387-nucleotide ribosomal RNA is filed under the name uncultured bacterium. Its description in RNAcentral is "bacterial SSU rRNA". It matches the Rfam family "Bacterial small subunit ribosomal RNA", at positions 28 to 417 of the family's 1533-position model. The record is from RNAcentral.